Long non-coding RNA from Daphnia pulex (common water flea), 1892 nucleotides. RefSeq lists it as uncharacterized. The record is from RefSeq and is a predicted model, not a curated record. The transcript is spliced from 2 exons. NCBI's taxonomy places the organism in Eukaryota, Metazoa, Arthropoda, Branchiopoda, Diplostraca, Daphniidae.
AAGUUCUACAUUUGUGUUUAUUUAUUUACUCUAGUUCGAGCUAGCUAGGAUGUAGGAAGAAAGUUACACAUUUCUGAAUCUCAACUCAAGGCCUCUCUUUACCGAUAAAUGAGAAAAUCGAGUCUAUUAACUACGCAACUAUGUCGAUCGUGUUUCAUUGGUUACGCUUAAAAAUGUACACGUAAACCAGAAAAUUUGAAAAAAAGAUUACUCAAGUCGAGUUACAAUGUCGCCGAUUAUUCAAACUGUAUCAAAUUCUCUGGGACAGAUGCGUAGGAAAGACUGGGUUUUUUCAUCCUCCGCCACCAAUGUAUGGCAUAGUAAACAAAUGUCUUUCCAUCUGUCGUAAACUCAUGCCUCGUUUUUCUUUAAUAUUAUCGUCACUCAAAAAGACAGGAGCGAGAGAAAAGAUUUAGAAUUAACUUAAUGUGGAUCACCAAUUUUUGAUUUGUUUGCUUGCUGAUGUGAUUUUUUUUUUCGGUAUGAUUUAUACACAAGCCACCAAAUAUAGGCAAAGAAAAAGCUAAGACUGCCAAGAUUCCAGUGUCAUUUCUUAGCUUUUUUUCUUGCUAGGUGGGUUGAGUGUUGUUGAGGCAGUAAGGCCAAGAAAAUCAAGAUUAAUUCAAAUAACUAGCGGUCAAAUAUCGAUGUUUCCAUUUGCCGCCAUUAUGGUUGUCGUAUGUUUUGGCUAAAUUGCGCACGGGUUUCAAGGACUGUUAUUGAACAACUCUGUGGUUCGUUGUCAGUUGGCGUGCAGGUAUUCUGGGUUAAGGGACUAACAAAGAAGGAAACUGCAUUUCUAUCUUUACCGUCUUUGAGUAGACGUAAUCAGAAGAUUGCUCUUGGAGAAAUCUCGUCCAUUUUAUUAGUGGUAGGCUGGUAGCGCGCAGUAAUUCACUUAAAAAAAAAUUUGUUUUGGAUACGGUAGGACAUUUGUAAAUAAUUUUAGAGUUCAUAGAUUGUCUUUUGUUAUGUUUUGGGUACUAAUCCAUAACCUCGAAUUUUUGAGUUGUAGGCAAAUAUUUUAAAUUUUCUUUUCGAUCGGGCCUUCCAUCGCAUGCAAAUUCAUGAUUAAUAAAUCGUGUGCAUCAUUCGUAUUCAACGGAGUUGUUCGAUCCCCUGUGACACGCGAGAUUAAGGCAAAACGCAAUAUAGAAACUUCGGAUUCAAUCCACAACAGAAAAUAAUCAAAUUUUUUUCCCAGAUUCAAUCAAAAUGGAUUCAGCAAUUCUCUUAUGAAUAACUAGUCUACUGUAAUAUUUAAACUCGGUUCUUAAAGUCAAUGUCAGGAAUGUUACCCAGUUUCCAGUUUGUGCUUCCCUGUUCCAGUUUCAAUGCCCGAUUAAUCACGAGAGUGACGGUUCUGUUCAUCGGGAUUCGCGAUUCAGAAUCAGGAUCGUGGGAUUCAUCCUAUACUCAAAUAAAGUUUUAUUAAACGGCAUCUAGUGAUUGCGAUUACAAACAAAACAUUUCUUUUCAGCUUCGUCUGCUGCACUGUACUGCACGUGCAUGAAAUCAAAAGAUCAGAUUGAGAUGGGUGUCCCUAAACUAUGGACUUGGACAGUCCAUUUUGGACUACUAAACUAUGGACUUCGAUCGAAAACUAUGGACUUCACCAGAUGGCGCUGCCUGUCCGAAACUAUGGACUUGGGGACCUAAAAUAUGGACUUUAACCUGCAGAAACUAUGGACUCCAUCAGAUGGCGUUAUAUCCGAAACACUGGACUUGGCGUCUAAAGUAUGGACUUUAAAUGUAUAAACUUGGCUUAGAUCCGAAUAUUUUCGCUUAAGUUUUAAAAGGUUAAAUGAAUAUAUCUUUUAAUUAAAUUUAAGCAAACCACAAAUUCAUUCCGAAUGGUGUAUUGCGAAUAUUAAUACACGAUUUACAAGGUA